GCAUGUCCUAUAUAUGCUCAGUGAUGAGGAUGGUUGAUCUCACAACCUCUUGUAUGGUGAUACUAAUACAAGGAUGUGGGUGCUCAUUAGAGAAUGAGUUUACUGAAUAGACCUACGAGAGAAUAUCUGAUAGAGUCUUAUUUAUAUGUCAGCUGAUAAUUCUCUAGUGGAAGUUGUGUAAGUGAUCCUUUGACCUGAGAUCCCUAUAGUAUCUUGUGUACAUGAGUUCAUAUUUUGGUUCAC
RNAcentral lists this long non-coding RNA (243 nucleotides) under Elaeis guineensis (African oil palm). RNAcentral's name for it is "long non-coding RNA (EGUI_LNC028092)". Lineage: Eukaryota; Viridiplantae; Streptophyta; Magnoliopsida; Arecales; Arecaceae. The record is from RNAcentral.